Molecule: microRNA, 22 nt
Filed under: Shrimp white spot syndrome virus
Lineage: Naldaviricetes; Nimaviridae
Description: wssv-mir36_5p
Source: RNAcentral
GAAAUUGAGGCACGCAAUCCAC